UACGAAGGGUGCAAGCGUUACUCGGAAUUACUGGGCGUAAAGCGUGCGUAGGCGGUUUGUUAAGUCUGCUGUGAAAGCCCCGGGCUCAACCUGGGAACGGCAGUGGAUACUGGCAAGCUAGAGUGUGUCAGAGGAUGGUGGAAUUCCCGGUGUAGCGGUGAAAUGCGUAGAGAUCGGGAGGAACAUCAGUGGCGAAGGCGGCCAUCUGGGACAACACUGACGCUGAGGCACGAAAGCGUGGGGAGCAAACAGG
This 253-nucleotide ribosomal RNA is filed under the name uncultured bacterium. RNAcentral describes it as "partial 16S ribosomal RNA". It matches the Rfam family "Bacterial small subunit ribosomal RNA", at positions 524 to 776 of the family's 1533-position model. The record is from RNAcentral.